UGGGGAAUUUUGGACAAUGGGGGCAACCCUGAUCCAGCAAUGCCGCGUGAGUGAAGAAGGCCCUCGGGUUGUAAGGCUCUUUUGUCAGGGAAGAAACGGAGUUCUCUAAUAUAGGAUUCUAAUGACGGUACCUGAAGAAUAAGCACCGGCUAACUACGUGCCAGCAGCCGCGGUAAUACGUAGGGUGCAAGCGUUAAUCGGAAUUACUGGGCGUAAAGCGUGCGCAGGCGGUUUUGUAAGUCUGAUGUGAAAUCCCCGGGCUCAACCUGGGAACUGCAUUGGAGACUGCAAGGCUAGAGUGUGUCAGAGGGGGGUAGAACUCCACGUGUAGCAGUGAAAUGCGUAGAGAUGUGGAGGAAUACCGAUGGCGAAGGCAGCCCCCUGGGAUAACACUGACGCUCAUGCACGAAAGCGUGGGGAGCAAACAGGAUUAGAUACCCUGGUAGUCCACGCCCUAAACGAUGUCUACUAGUUGUCGGGACUUAAUUGUCUUGGUAACGCAGCUAACGCGUGAAGUAGACCGCCUGGGGAGUACGGUCGCAAGAUUA
RNAcentral lists this ribosomal RNA (548 nucleotides) under uncultured bacterium. RNAcentral's name for it is "bacterial SSU rRNA". It matches the Rfam family "Bacterial small subunit ribosomal RNA", at positions 355 to 896 of the family's 1533-position model. The record is from RNAcentral.